AAUCAAGUGGAGGACAAGUCUGGUGCCAGCACCCGCGGUAAUUCCAGCUCCACUAGCGUAUAUUAAAGUUGUUGCAGUUAAAAAGCUCGUAGUUGAACCUCUGUCUGGGGCUAGUUUUGGCUUUGGUCAGGCUAGUUCUAGGCAUCCGCCUACAAGACUUAGAGGGCAUUCAGUUGUUCACUAGGAGGAGUAGGCAUUUUACUUUGAAAAAAUUAGAGUGUUUAAGGCAGGCAAUCGCCCGCAUAUAUUAGCAUGGAAUAAUAGAAUAGGACACUUUUCCAUUUCGUUGGUUAUUGGAAUCGUGUAAUGAUUAAUAGGGACAGUUGUGGGCAUUUGUAUUUAAUUGUCAGAGGUGAAAUUCUUGGAUUUAUUAAAGACAAACUAACGCGAAAGCAUUUGCCAAGGAUGUUUUCAUCAAUCAAGAACGAAAGUUAGGGGAUCAAAGACGAUCAGAUACCGUCCUAGUCUUAACUAUAAACUAUUCCGACUCAAUGUUUGACUGGCUUAUAUAACCAGUUGAGCGUUGUAUGAGAAAUCAAAGUCUUUAGGUUCUGGGGGGAGUAUGGUUGCAAAGCUGAAACUUAAAGGAAUUGACGGAAGAGCACAACCAGGAGUGGAUUCUGCGGCUUAAUUUGACUCAACACGGGGAAACUUACCAGGUUAAAACAAUAGUGGGAUUGACAGUUUGAGAGCGCUUUCUUGAUUGGUUGGGUGGUGGUGCAUGGCCGUUCUUAGUUGGUGGAGUGAUUUGUCUGCUUAAUUGCGUUAACGAACGAGACCUUAACCUGCUUACUAGACUGGCGAUCAUCAAUCGUUAGCUCUUCUUAGAGGGACUUUGGUUGUUUUAACUCCAAGGAAGUUUGAGGCAAUAACAGGUCUGUGAUGCCCUUAGAUAUCCUGGGCCGCGCGCGUCAUACAAUGACUAGUUCAGAAAGUUUUCUCCUGACCCGAAAGGGGAUGGGUAAUCUUGAUAAUACUAGUCGUGUUAGGGAUCGAUCUUUGCAAUUAUAGAUCUUGAACGAGGAAUUCCUAGUAAGUGCGGUUCAUCAGACCGUACUGAUUACGUCCCUGCUCUUUGUACACACCGCCCGUCGCUUCUACCGAGUGGGUGGUCCGGUGAGAUAAUUGAACUUCGCAGGUAACUGAGAGGAAAGAUUAUCAAACCUAUCCACCU
RNAcentral lists this ribosomal RNA (1174 nucleotides) under metagenome. RNAcentral describes it as "SSU rRNA". It matches the Rfam family "Eukaryotic small subunit ribosomal RNA", at positions 542 to 1774 of the family's 1831-position model. The record is from RNAcentral.